Molecule: ribosomal RNA, 199 nt
Filed under: Cladophialophora sp.
Lineage: Eukaryota; Fungi; Ascomycota; Eurotiomycetes; Chaetothyriales; Herpotrichiellaceae
Description: partial large subunit ribosomal RNA
Rfam family: Eukaryotic large subunit ribosomal RNA
Source: RNAcentral
AGUAACGGCGAGUGAAGCGGUAAUAGCUCAAAUUUGAAAUCUGGCCUCUCGGGGUCCGAGUUGUAAUUUGUAGAGGGUGUUUUGGGUACCGCCCCGGUCUAAAUUUCUUGGAACAGAAUGUCAAAGAGGGUGAGAAUCCCGUCUUGGACCGGCGGUAGGGCCUGUGUAAAACUCCUUCGACGAGUCGAGUUGUUUGGGA